Molecule: small RNA, 83 nt
Filed under: Gallibacterium salpingitidis
Lineage: Bacteria; Pseudomonadati; Pseudomonadota; Gammaproteobacteria; Pasteurellales; Pasteurellaceae
Description: isrK Hfq binding RNA
Rfam family: isrK Hfq binding RNA
Source: Rfam by way of RNAcentral
GCUUUCGCAAAAUCGAAAGCCGAGCCUGGAAACUCGAACGAUAUAUCACUGGCGCAUAACACGCCUCUUAAUGCGUGUUUUUU